UAAAAAAAACAUGCCAGUGGCCUCGUCCUCUUCGUCUCCCCCCCUAAAUCGCAGCUGGGAGCUCGCCGGAGAAUCCUCCUCCGCCCUCCUUCCUUCCCUUGCUCCUUCCUGCGAAUUUCCUACUCCAUCCGCGAUCUCCCGCUGCCGGCCGACCAAGCUUGGCGCUGCCGGCGAGAUGCACCGGCGCCGUCAAUCUACAGGCAUCGACGAGGGGCCAAGGGCGCCGGCACUCGAUCGGGUAAGACCGCAACUGAGAUCAGUGUACUGACCUGGACCUAGGGUUUAUGGGCCUGCGCUUAAUUCAGGUAACCAGAGAGAUAACUUCAUCUUAAUUUUGCCAGCCCCCCCCGUGUUGAACAUCUAUCUCUUUUGCGAUGCCCGGUCCGGAUUGCUUGCUGCAUUACCUAUUGCAAAGAGUAAGCCAGUAAAGCAUCUAACUACUCCCUCUGUUCCAUAAAGAUUUUCUCUUCUCAUGGAAUUUGUCAAGCUGCCACAUAUCCGGAUAAAAUACUAUGCAUGAAUCUAAUAUACUAGUAGUUCAGAGCUAAAGAUGGACAACAUAAUGCUGCACUCCGUUUUUCAAGUUAUCUUCAGCCAGCAGACUUUUCCCCUCCUGUGCUUGCCAUCCAGAUCUAACUUGACCACUAGUGCCCAUUAACACACACUCCCUCCCUUCCAUAAUUCUUGUCGAAAUCUUACAUGUAUCUAGACACUUUUUAGGAAUAGAUACAUUCAUUUUUGGACAAAUUUGAGACAAGAAUUAUGGAACGGAGGAAGUAAUAUUGAAUGUCUGAAUAUUAUUCGCACAACCUCAACUCCAUGGUUCAGUAUUGGGGCAUUGACCUUUAACCCGGACAAAGUGAAAGCAUUCUAAACUCACCUAUAUUUUUCCAGUAUUCUGAACCCGUCGCUCCCGCUGCCGGCGUCACCGUCACGCCGCCCAAUCCAGCCGCUGCGGCAGCCAAACGCAAGCGGCGGGGCGUUCCGGUAACCGUUCAGGCCGGUGCCACGUCCUCCGGGUUCCUUCCUGAGGCGGCGGGUAAUGACGGCCCGAAGCGGCUGAAGGAGACGGUUGUUCCAAGACCAGCGCCUUCCUCCACCACCUCUGCCGGUCGGAGAGCCCACCGCGAGCUACACGAUGCCGCCGCAAGCAAUGUGUUUGAGGAAACGCCGGAGAGUUACUAUUUGCAUUCGGUUUCGACAUCGUAUGUGAAUAUUUUGGAUGAGAAUGCGGUCAACAUUGAUACCGCACUUGGGGCAUUUGAUGCCGGCUUGAAAGAGGGUAAUGAAGAGGGUGGGGAUGAUAAUGAAGUGGAGGAGAUUGAGAAAGGGGUCAUCUAGGUUCUCAACCAAAUCAUUCAAAGAGAUCUUUGAAUUACACGGAUAUUGAGGAUGUCGCAUUGGUGAAGGCAUGGGACUGUGUGUCACUUGAUGCGGUGGCCGGCAAUGAUCAAACCGGAAAGAGGUAUUGGCAACGAAUCGAGGACAUGUUUCAUCGUCUCAUGCCGGUAGCAUCAGCACGCUCAUUGAGAUCACUCCAAGCCCGUUUUGAGAUAAUCAAGAGUUGUUGUAGCCGUUGGAGUGGUUGUUUGAAUCAAGUGAGGAAUGCACCUCCAAGUGGUUGCACUACUGAUGAAUAUGAUCAUAUUGCAAUGGAGAGGUACAAGCAAAUGUCAGCAUCCAAAAGCAAACCAUUUGUGUUUCAGCAUUGUUGGAAAUUACUUGAACAUAGUGAGAAGUGGAGGUUGAGGGAUCAAGAAACACCGCCAAAGAAAGGGGCCUUUGUUGAAUUGGAUUAUAAUGAUGAUAGAGAUGCGUUGAAGGGAGAAAUAAACCAGGGGAAGCCCGAUGGAAGGGAGAAGGAGAAGGCCAAGAAGCAAGCCGAGGCCACAAGCUUGAGGGAGAAAAUUGGUGGCAAGAGUAUUAUCUCCGAGGCCGCAAGCUUGAGGGAGAAAGAAACCAUUUGUGCUCCAACAUUUUUGGACUUGGUGAAGUCAAAGGAAACCUUGGUGGCCAAACUAUUGGAAACAGAAAUGGCCAUGGCCGAGAAGAAGCACCAAGACGAGAUGGCAAGGUGGCAAGAACUCCGGGAAGUUGAGGAGCGCAAGGUCGCCAUUGAUGAGAGGAGAGUCCUUCUCGAGGAGAACAAGGUGAUGGCGGAGAUCCUUGCCGAGGAGAACAAGGUGAUGAUGAUGGAUCCGAGAACAAUGGACCCGAUGUCAAGAGAGUGGUGGGAUAUAAGAAGAGGUGAGAUCUUGCAACGAAGAAGGCAAGCUAGUGGUGGUGCUACUUCGGCUGGUGGUGGUGGUGGUGCUUCGGCCGGUGGUGGAGAUGGUGCCGGCAAGCUUGGCGACGACGGUGUUUGAAGUGGUCAUCAGUGGUGUUCUUUAUGAACUUCAUCCAUAAUUCUGGGCUUGCGGCUUCAAUUUGGUUACUCUGGUAGAAUAGACUUGCUGUUUGCAAAGCAGAGGACCAUGGAUGUUUACUGUUUGUGUGUUCGUCUGGAGAUGGUGUGGACUUUCAAGCGUACAAAGCAGAGGACGAGGAAUGAUCUAUGUUACACAUGUACAGGAGUGGUUUUAUAGAUUCCAUUGUUGUGUGUAGCACUGAGAAUUCAGAGGUGCGAGUUCAGGGAAAUUUCCUGGAAGGAAGUCUGGUUUAGGGAGGUUGGAACUUGGAACCCUGUUUAGGCCAGGGUCCUCUGCUUCUUCUGUAAUUAAUUUCACUUGCUCGUGCUUUUUACCAAAUCUGUAUUUCUCGUUGGAGUUUUAGUGACUCUAUAAUCUGUUGCUGUUCUUGAAUAAUUCUAUAACAGUUAGUUCAAAUUUCCUGACGAACUUUGAACAACUCUUGGUUUGAACUUUCAACAAAAAAUUGACAAGCUUUCAGUAAUUUUCAGUGGAAUUUUAAAAAAAUUAUGAUCUUUCUAAAAACUUAACCAUCUUAGAAAAACACACAGAAUCAAAUUUCACCAACCUGCAUAGAGAUAUACUUAGAAAAUUUCAAAAUUUUUGUAGUUAUAAGCUGUCAAAAAUUUGGUAAAAGGUAAAAAGAACACACGCCCUAACCGUCCCCUCGCUGGUUUCCUCCCCUGCUCGGCCGCCGCACUCUGCUAACAAUUCAGGUUUCGUCUGCCCUUCCUCCUCCCUCCUCCUCUUGCUUCUUCUUCUCCCUUCUUUGACAAAGCUCUCUGUUUUCCUCUGAUCUUAUGCUCAGAUCCUCACCAUCUGACACUGGAAUCAACCUUGGUUGCGUACAGGUACAGGAUGGGGGCAGCAUCCAUGGAGACGGCGUCAAGGUGCAGCACGGAGAAAGAGAAGGGAGCUCACGUCUUCGAGAUCUCCGGGUACAGCCUCAAGAAGGGCAUGGGCGUCGGCAAGUUCGUCCAGUCGGCCACCUUCACCGUCGGCGGCUACGACUGGUCCAUCCGCGUCUACCCCGACGGAUUGACCGCGGUUACCAAAGAGGAUGUAGCGUUCAGCCUCCAGUUCAUGAGCAGCAAUGCGGAGGCAAGGGCCUUCUACGAUCUGAGGCUGGUAAAGCACGGGCGGUUGGGCAGGGGCAGCUCCAUGAAGGAACCGAUAGUAGGGGCAGCUCCAUGAAGGAACCGAUAGUGUUCAACUCUAGGGACGUUCAUCUGGGUAGAAGUAGAACACGGGCAGUUGGAUGCGUGCCAAGAAGUGAUCUUGAGACAUCAAAGUACCUCGACGACGAUCGCCUCGUGGUUAGAUGUCUGGUUAUUGUCAUCAAAGAGUCGUUGUUGACCAAAACCAGGGUUGUGUGCUCUGAAAUCGAUGUACCGCCGUCAGACAUUACGGAGCAUCUCGCCAAGCUGUUGGAAGCAAAAGAGCAAACAGAUGUCACUUUC
Brachypodium distachyon (stiff brome) is the source of this 3868-nucleotide RNA transcript. It is a transcript of the gene named BTB/POZ and MATH domain-containing protein 1, with no coding region annotated. Lineage: Eukaryota; Viridiplantae; Streptophyta; Magnoliopsida; Poales; Poaceae. The record is from RefSeq and is a predicted model, not a curated record. The transcript is spliced from 4 exons.